Molecule: long non-coding RNA, 310 nt
Organism: Zingiber officinale
Lineage: Eukaryota; Viridiplantae; Streptophyta; Magnoliopsida; Zingiberales; Zingiberaceae
Exons: 4
Source: RefSeq, a predicted model, not a curated record
UGAAGAAGAAGCCCAAGAUCAUGCAGCAGCAUCUUGAUUAUUGUUUCCCUGGUUUAUGGCUAUCCAAGAUAACUCCUCGAUCCUACAAAGCCAAUGAAUAAGACAUGUGUUCUUAUAGUCCGUAUACAUUGUGAAGGUUGUAAGGAUAGGUCAGGAAGAAGGUGCAGAAGGUUCAAGAAGGAAAAUGUUUGUCUGGCAAACUCUAUAUCUGAAAUGCAUAAAUUUGGAGCAAUCUAUAAUAUCAAAUGGUUCUCAUACUUUGGCACAUGAAUCCAAUGAUUUGGGUAAAAAAGAUAAAAAGAAGAAAGGA